GAUGAACGCUGGCGGCGUGCCUAAUACAUGCAAGUCGAGCGAACAGACGAGGAGCUUGCUCCUCUGACGUUAGCGGCGGACGGGCGAGUAACACGUGGAUAACCUACCUAUAAGACUGGGAUAACUUCGGGAAACCGGAGAUAAUACUGGAUAAUAUAUUGAACCGCAUGGUUCAAUAGUGAAUGACGGUUUUGGUGUUACUUAUAGAUGGAUCCGCGUCGCAUUAGCUAGUUGGUAAGGUAACGGCUUACCAAGGAGACGAUGCGUAGCCGACCUGAGAGGAUGAUCGGCCACACUGGAACUGAGACACGGUCCAGACUCCUACGGGAGGCAGCAGUAGGGAAUCUUCCACAAUGGGCGAAAGCCUGACGGAGCAACGCCGCGUGAGUGAUGAAGGUCUUCGGAUCGUAAAACUCUGUUAUUAGGAAAGAACAAAUGUGUAAGUAACUAUGCACGUCUUGACGGUACCUAAUCAGAAAGCCACGGCUAACUACGUG
RNAcentral lists this ribosomal RNA (497 nucleotides) under uncultured bacterium. RNAcentral describes it as "partial 16S ribosomal RNA". It matches the Rfam family "Bacterial small subunit ribosomal RNA", at positions 28 to 507 of the family's 1533-position model. The record is from RNAcentral.